Molecule: unclassified non-coding RNA, 87 nt
Filed under: Malaclemys terrapin terrapin
Lineage: Eukaryota; Metazoa; Chordata; Testudines; Emydidae
Description: 3' external transcribed spacer
Source: RNAcentral
UCUUCUCCCAACCCUCCGGCAGGAAGGGAAAGCCACCAGCCCUGGCUGCGGGGUGCGGGGUGGUGCUUCCCUCCCGGGGGGGAAGGC